RNAcentral lists this ribosomal RNA (1246 nucleotides) under Candidatus Phytoplasma sacchari. Its description in RNAcentral is "bacterial SSU rRNA". It matches the Rfam family "Bacterial small subunit ribosomal RNA", at positions 153 to 1398 of the family's 1533-position model. Lineage: Bacteria; Bacillati; Mycoplasmatota; Mollicutes; Acholeplasmatales; Acholeplasmataceae. The record is from RNAcentral.
GAAACAGUUGCUAAGACUGGAUAGGAAAUAAAAAGGCAUCUUUUUAUUUUUAAAAGACCUUUUUCGGAAGGUAUGCUUAAAGAGGGGCUUGCGUCACAUUAGUUAGUUGGCAGGGUAAAGGCCUACCAAGACUAUGAUGUGUUUCUGGACUGAGAGGUUGAACAGCCACAUUGGGACUGAGACACGGCCCAAACACCUACGGGAGGCACCAGUAGGGAAUUUUCGGCAAUGGAGGAAACUCUGACCGAGCAACGCCGCGUGAACGAUGAAGUAUUUCGGUAUGUAAAGUUAUUUUAUUGAAGAAGAAAAAAUAGUGGAAAAACUAUCUUGACGAUAUUCAAUGAAUAAGCCCCGGCAAACUAUGUGCCAGCAGCCGCGGUAAUACAUAGGGGGCGAGCGUUAUCCGGAAUUAUUGGGCGUAAAGGGUGCGUAGGCCGUUUAAUAAGUCUAUAGUUUAAUUUCAGUGCUUAACACUGUCCUGCUAUAGAAACUAUUAGACUAGAGUAAGAUAGAGGCAAGUGGAAUUCCAUGUGUAGCGGUAAAAUGCGUAAAUAUAUGGAGGAACACCAGAGGCGUAGGCGGCAUGCUGGGUCUUUACUGACGCUGAGGCACGAAAGCGUGGGGAGCAAACAGGAUUAGAUACCCUGGUAGUCCACGCCGUAAACGAUGAGUACUAAGUGUCGGGAUUACUCGGUACUGAAGUUAACACAUUAAGUACUCCGCCUGAGUAGUACGUACGCAAGUAUGAAACUUAAAGGAAUUGACGGGACUCCGCACAAGCGGUGGAUCAUGUUGUUUAAUUCGAAGAUACACGAAAAACCUUACCAGGUCUUGACAUACUCUGCAAAGCUAUAGGAAUAUAGUGGAGGUUAUCAGAGAUACAGGUGGUGCAUGGUUGUCGUCAGCUCGUGUCGUGAGAUGUUAGGUUAAGUCCUAAAACGAGCGCAACCCUUGUCAUUAGUUGCCAGCAUGUCAUGAUGGGCACUUUAAUGAGACUGCCAAUGAAAAAUUGGAGGAAGGUGAGGAUCACGUCAAAUCAUCAUGCCCCUUAUGAUCUGGGCUACAAACGUGAUACAAUGGCUGUUACAAAGAGUAGCUGAAACGCAAGUUUAUAGCCAAUCUCAAAAAAGCAGUCUGAGUUCGGAUUGAAGUCUGCAACUCGACUUCAUGAAGUUGGAAUCGCUAGUAAUCGCGAAUCAGCAUGUCGCGGUGAAUACGUUCUCGGGGUUUGUACACACCGUGCGUC